AGAGAAUGGACAAGAGCCAGAGUAAGAACCUGACUCCUUCCCCUCACUCCUCUCACCAGAGAAAUCACCUUUGGUUACAUCUGACCACCUUCCCCAACUCCAGACCCAGAGCUGGAAUAUCCCUUUCUUGCUUAGGAAGGAGCCUGAGUCACAAAGCUGGGAAGCUGGGCCCCAGCUAUCAGGGGGUUCCAGGUCCGGCCCUUGGGGCUGCUUCCACUGGUCCGCAGAGUCAAGGCUUGACCACGAGUGUCGGCAACUUGCCGGCCCAGAGAAGUCUUCAGAUGACUAAACCUCUCAGGUAAACUCAGAUCUGCCUGCAAAUGACCAUUGUCCAGAGAGCCCCUGGAACCCCCAUCGGCCACUUUGGGAGAUGAGGAAACUGAGGCACAUAAUUAUACUGACUUUCUCAUGGUCAGAUAACUGGUGUCUGCGGCAGAGAUGAACUUCCUGACUUCUGGGACCAUAGAUUUAGAGCAUUCAAGGCUAGAACCCAGAGCUUCCAGUUCUCCAACCUAAUGAUCUCAAGAGAUUGCAGUUGAGCAGGAGGAGGAUCCAGCGCUUUGGGGAAGGCCGGCCUCCGUCUCCCUGGAGACGGGGCAGUGAUGCCGCUUGGCUCCCUCUCAGAGAAGGAUUACUCUGGGACCCUGCAGAGCUGACAGGGUGGUCAGCUGAGAGCCAGAAGGGACUUUCUGUGUUGCUUCUGGCCCUGUUUACAGAUGAACAACCGGAACCCAGACUAGUAAAGGGACACGCCCAAACAACUUGCUACACUCUUAGCGAGACUCAGAACCAGAAUUCGAAGCCAGGAUUCUUUCCCCAGCUCUGUGCAGACCCCGGUGACCCAAGAGCACAGG
Molecule: long non-coding RNA, 854 nt
Organism: Sarcophilus harrisii (Tasmanian devil)
Lineage: Eukaryota; Metazoa; Chordata; Mammalia; Dasyuromorphia; Dasyuridae
Exons: 3
Source: RefSeq, a predicted model, not a curated record